RNAcentral lists this ribosomal RNA (469 nucleotides) under uncultured bacterium. RNAcentral's name for it is "partial 16S ribosomal RNA". It matches the Rfam family "Bacterial small subunit ribosomal RNA", at positions 28 to 507 of the family's 1533-position model. The record is from RNAcentral.
GACGAACGCUGGCGGCGUGCUUAACACAUGCAAGUCGAACGGAAAGGCCCUGCUUGCAGGGUGCUCGAGUGGCGAACGGGUGAGUAACACGUGGGUGAUCUGCCCCUUAUUUUGGGAUAAGCCUGGGAAACUGGGUCUAAUACUGGAUAGGACCAUGCUGUAGGUGGUGUGGUGGAAAGAUUAGUUUCGGUAAGGGAUGAGCUCGCGGCCUAUCAGCUUGUUGGUGGGGUAAUGGCCUACCAAGGCGUCGACGGGUAGCCGGCCUGAGAGGGUGGACGGCCACAUUGGGACUGAGAUACGGCCCAGACUCCUACGGGAGGCAGCAGUGGGGAAUAGUGCACAAUGGGCGCAAGCCUGAUGCAGCGACGCCGCGUGGGGGAUGACGGCCUUCGGGUUGUAAACUCCUUUCAGCCAUGACGAAGCCCUUGUGGUGACGGUAGUGGUAGAAGAAGCACCGGCUAACUACGUG